AAAUAUGUGGCUCAGGUGGUAAGAGCGGUUAUCUAUCAAUCUGCAGGUUGCUGGUUCAAUCCCAGUCCCAUGUUAA
RNAcentral lists this transfer RNA (76 nucleotides) under Perca flavescens (yellow perch). Its description in RNAcentral is "tRNA-Asp". The record is from RNAcentral. Lineage: Eukaryota; Metazoa; Chordata; Actinopteri; Perciformes; Percidae.